GGAGGCAUAGCUCAGCUGGUAGAGCACACGCUUCACAUGCGUGGGGUCGCUGGUUCGAGUCCAGCUGUCUCCACCA
RNAcentral lists this transfer RNA (76 nucleotides) under bioreactor metagenome. RNAcentral describes it as "tRNA-Val". It matches the Rfam family "tRNA". From Rfam's summary of the family: Transfer RNA (tRNA) molecules are approximately 80 nucleotides in length. Their secondary structure includes four short double-helical elements and three loops (D, anti-codon, and T loops). The record is from RNAcentral.